This 486-nucleotide ribosomal RNA is filed under the name uncultured bacterium. RNAcentral describes it as "partial 16S ribosomal RNA". It matches the Rfam family "Bacterial small subunit ribosomal RNA", at positions 30 to 507 of the family's 1533-position model. The record is from RNAcentral.
AUUGAACGCUGGCGGCAUGCCUUACACAUGCAAGUCGAACGGCAGCACGGGUGCUUGCCCCUGGUGGCGAGUGGCGCACGCGUGAGUAAUACAUCGGAACAUGUCCUGUAGUGGGGGAUAGUACGGCGAAAGCCGGAUUACUACCGCAUACGAAUUACGGAAGACAGAGGGGGACCUUCGGGCCUCGCGCUUUGGGGUUGGCCGAUGGCUGAUUAGCUAGUUGGUGGGGUAAAGGCCUACCAAGGCGACGAUCAGUAGCUGGUCUGAGAGGACGACCAGCCACACUGGGACUGAGACACGGCCCAGACUCCUACGGGAGGCAGCAGUGGGGAAUUUUGGACAAUGGGCGAAAGCCUGAUCCAGCAAUGCCGCGUGUGUGAAGAAGGCCUUCGGGUUGUAAAGCACUUUUGUCCGGAAAGAAAACCUUGGCCCUAAUACGGUCGGGGGAUGACGGUACCGGAAGAAUAAGCACCGGCUAACUACGUG